Molecule: ribosomal RNA, 361 nt
Filed under: Glossina swynnertoni
Lineage: Eukaryota; Metazoa; Arthropoda; Insecta; Diptera; Glossinidae
Description: partial 16S ribosomal RNA
Source: RNAcentral
AGCAUAAUCAUUAGUUUUUUAAUUAAGAACUGGAAUGAAUGGUUGGACGAAAUAAUAACUGUCUUAUUUUAAUUUAUAAUAAAAUUUUAUUUUUUAGUAAAAAAGCUUAAAUUAUAUUAAAAGACGAGAAGACCCUAUAAAUCUUUAUUAUUAAUUAAUUAAUUAAUUUAUAGAUUUAUUUUUUAAUUAAUUAAUUACUAAUUUUAUUGGGGUGAUAUUAAAAUUUAAAUAACUUUUAAUUUAAUAUAACAUAAAUUAAUGGAUUAUUGAUCUUUUAUUAAUGAUUAUAAGAAUAAGUUACUUUAGGGAUAACAGCGUAAUUUUUUUGGAGAGUUCUUAUCGAUAAAAAAGAUUGCGACCC